CAGUAGGCACACGACCAAUAGACACAUGCAAUCACACAUGGAUGGUACCACAAUCUUCCUAACCAUUUAACUAUUGAUUGGUUUUAAUAAUAUUUUUUGCAGACGGGGGCACAUGCCAUUUUUCUCCUUCACCAUGGGCCCUGAAUUGGCUGAACUCAAGGCAUGUCGAUGGGUUUCUCAGCUUACGCGUAAAUUAGAAGUGGUAAAACUUAUCCUGGAGACAGACACAAAAGAUAGCGGCUUUUAAGUUAAGAAGCCAAGAUAUUGAUAGAUCAAUCUAUGGCCCUAUCGCUAAGGAGGUAAAUGAACGCAUGCAAUCAAGGGAGGAGUACAUGGUGGUGUGGGUGAGAUACUUGGCUAAUGAAUGCGUUAUAUAAAACUUGGGUCGGGUAUCCAUCGAAUUGUAUUCAUGAUGCUAUGGAAUAAGAACAUAUUUUAUAUAGUUGUCACUAAGAUAGCAUCUAUAACUGGAUCUAGCCAAUCCAUCCACUGGACAUGCCAGAUCAGUUAGCCCUCUUUUCUCUCUGCAUGCAGUCAUGUUUCUCAUUUUCUCCUCUUAUCUCUGUUCACUUGUAUGUGAUUGAUGAAUAUGAAGAGGAAGAAAGAGAAGAAAGAAAGGUGGUCCGGGAUGGGCAGUGUCCUAUGUGACAGACUGCCCGGACGCGUCUGGAGCCUGCAUAUCCUCUUCAUAUUUUGUGCACAUACAAGGUUUGUGAACAACUUGGUCGUAUAGCGAUGAUAUGAGCGGUAUGGUUGGGUCACCUCUUUUCCUUCUCUUUCAUGUUUGUGGAGGAUUUGAUAGGGAGGGUUGUAGAUGCUCUAACAUUAUUGUUGUGUUAGCUGAG
Molecule: long non-coding RNA, 845 nt
Filed under: Hordeum vulgare
Lineage: Eukaryota; Viridiplantae; Streptophyta; Magnoliopsida; Poales; Poaceae
Description: long non-coding RNA (HVUL_LNC011806)
Source: RNAcentral